This is a non-coding RNA of Mus caroli (Ryukyu mouse), 465 nucleotides long. The record is from RefSeq and is a predicted model, not a curated record. NCBI's taxonomy places the organism in Eukaryota, Metazoa, Chordata, Mammalia, Rodentia, Muridae.
CUACUGGUGUGCUGGGAUUAAAGCACACCUGGCUUCAAGCUCCUUAUUGGCCUUUGCCUUUCCCAUAAGGCACUUUGCUGGUGGUGUGCUGGGAUAUUCCAGCAAACAGAACUAUGGGAUCCCUGAACUAUGGCCUGGGUAUUCAUUGACCAGUGAGCAGCUUCCUUGUGGGAACCAUGUAUCUCUCCACUUUGUUCCUAUAUUUGUAAAGUGUCUGGGAUGAAAGCAGGACGUACCUCCAAGGGUCCUUGAGGGCUGACUAUUGUACAUCAUCCUUAUCAAGGCAUUUUCUCUUUGUAACUGAUAGAAAACCACAGCCAAUCCAAAUGUGGAGUUGUGAAGAACUGUCCCAAAUGGAUACAUCUACAAAGCACUCUCAUAGUCUCAAAUGGAGAAAGAGUUCACAGGGAAGGAGUAAAAAGGGUGAAAAUCCAAGAAAAUUUGGUCGUCCACCACAGCAACAGG